AGGUCUUCAACUUGAACUCUUAUCUUCUAUAACAUAGACAUUAUAAAACCCAUAUUUAUGAUUCAUAGUAUAGUGAGAAUCACAUCAGAAGCUAUCAACUUUCCAGAGUUCAUUAUCAUCUCUUUGGGGGAAAAGAAAAAGGUUAUUUUACAAAUGUAUGACAGCACUUGCAGGAGGAAGAAAAAUAUCUGAUCAAAUUUUGUAUUUAUAACAGUAAUUGAAGAAGCAUUUUAUGUUGUUUUUUAACAUAGAGUAUCUACCUCACCAGAUCAUAAGAAGGAGAUUCAACAGGUAUAUAGAACUGAUGCGGUUUUAUCCAGCUUCCUUCACUCCAUACAGACCAAGCCGUCUCACAAGGCUGAGGAAGAAGUUUCUGAUGCAUUCAGUUCUGGCUUUUGUAUUUGAGCCAUCAGGAUUCUAUGAAAGGGAAACUGACAUCAGAGGGACCAUCAAAGUAAUUCUUGGCCAAAGAGUUAGCAGUCCUCCUGACUUCCAUUCUGUUUCUGUUUUCAGAAGUGCUAGGCAAAUCAUGAUUUUUUUAAGAAAGAGUCAUUGUAUUUUGUGUCAAUCAUUUCUAUUAUCUCCUAGACCAGUAAUAAAAUAAUGUGCAAUUGAAUUAGAUCUUCUAGACAUGAUAAAUUUAUACUUUAAAUUCGUAUAACUAGAAGCUCUCUAUGCCAAACAUGGAGAAAGAAUCUCUUAUAAAACACUCAACAAAUGUUUCUCUGACCUUUGUUUUAAUUAUUUUCUCCCUCUACUGUCUAGGGUAAGUGGGGGUCAGGAGGGGCUAACAUUGGCAUGAGGGCUAUGCUUUGGGCACGUGGUCUCUCAGAUCUCUAAAAGGUUCACCAUCACUUGUGUAGAGUUUUGUAUUGGCUUAUAUGAAUGAAGAAAUGAAUUAACUUGUUUUAGUGUUAACAAGAAUUAAUUUUACACACAAUAGCAUAUUAAAUUAUUUGUAUAACCUGAAGAUGUAUCUCCUUUUUUUGAGGAUGAAUUAAAAAAAAUCUGAGAUCUGCAGGCUUUCAAAUUAUACUUGAUACUUUAACUGAUACAUUGGCAAUGUAUAAUUUUUGUGAUCCUUCUGCUACAACUGCCUCCUUCACUUUUAUUUAUUAUAAUAAAAUGGCUUCAUACCUGUGGCA
Molecule: long non-coding RNA, 1145 nt
Organism: Monodelphis domestica (gray short-tailed opossum)
Lineage: Eukaryota; Metazoa; Chordata; Mammalia; Didelphimorphia; Didelphidae
Source: Ensembl